This is a long non-coding RNA of Hippopotamus amphibius kiboko, 4411 nucleotides long. RefSeq lists it as uncharacterized. Lineage: Eukaryota; Metazoa; Chordata; Mammalia; Artiodactyla; Hippopotamidae. The transcript has 3 exons. The record is from RefSeq and is a predicted model, not a curated record.
CCUAUGUGUCACUGACAAAAACAAGUUUAAUAAGGCAUCACAGUCCAAUUCGAGUUGGAGACAGAGUUGCUCUUUCGAAAGAAAGAAAGAAAGGAAGGAAGGAAGAGAAAGAAAGAGAGAAAGAAAGAAAAAGAAGCGAAGAAAGAAAUACUAACCAGAUCUCUUUUUACAAAAGAAAGUCAUUACUUGGAAAGUUAAAGGAAACUGGCAUGCGGAGGCUAAGCUAAAGGUUGAGGGGCUGUCGAUGCAGGCUGCCCAGCGUAAUGACCACCGCCGGCUCUGACGGGCAGCAGUCGCCAACCCACCGCGGACAAUGCAAGGUCCGUGCGCAGCACGCAGGUCUGACACACGGCAACCCCCGGCCGUCCGGCUCGUCGCCCCGACCCUGCCAACGCAACCAACGCGCAGACCCUCUCCGCGCCGCGCGCACCAGAGCUGCCGCCGCCGUGCAGGGCUUCCCGGCAAACGCGCGUCCGGCGGAGGCGCAGGAACAAGAGGAUUCAUCUGACUUAACUGGAGAUGGCUCCCUUCCCUAAUUUAUUGUUCCAUUCCUGACGCUUCCCCCCUACUGGGCUCAGUGUGAGCAGAUAGGCAACCGCCUCAGAGGUACAAGUUCACAGAGGCAGAGCUGCCCCUUCGCCGGCCCCGAGGCAAAGAAAAUUCCCAAUCUCUUUCAUGUAUUCAUCGGGUUUUGCGGAACCUGGUAAGGAAAUCAAUUCCAAAGGCAGGAAAUGACCCAGAGACCAUAACAAUAUGUGAGAAGCCAAGCCGGUGCUUCCGUCGCUUUAUUUCGAACUAUUCUAAUCUGUGUCCCAGGAAGCCUAACCCAUUACCAGAUGGAGAUCUGUUUUCAGACGCCUCUUGGCAUCUGCCACUCCCGGCUGGUGACAUUUGCACAUUUCAAGAAGGCAAACCUGUCCCCAUAGCUUCAAACUUCCGGAGAGGUGCAGCCCCAGGACAGUCCUCAGGUCUCUGGCGGACAGCACCGACCAUCUGAUGUGCUUCAUCGUAGCUGAACUGUUGCUGGCCUCCAGCCUAGAACAUGAGCACACCGAGUCUGUUCUUGAAGACUUGCAGAAUCUGAAAUCACAAAGCCCCACAUUGCCAGAAAAGGCUGGCUCCCUUGCCUGCUUCCUAAUCCCUUCUCACCCGGCUUUCCUAAAGAAACCCGAUGAGUCAGGAAGGAAGAAAACGUGUCUGAGGGAGAGCUGGGGUUGGUCUGGUCUCUCUCAUUGCUUCUGAAAAUUCCUCCUGUUUUACAGUACGGGUAAGGUUUGGGGAUUCGGUUGUACUUUUUCUGUUUCCUUCUCUAUCAGCUCUCUUUGAGAAGCGCUUCAUUUACCACUCACCAGAUCAGCUCAGCAAAAGCAGAAGACCCUCAAACGAGGAAUUAGUCAUGUUGCAAAGAAGUCUUGACUUCACUUUUGUCCCCAGGAGCUGCGUAAGAAAACACUCCCACCUCGACUCCCAGAUAGAACCAUCAUUCAAUUGCUUUGUUCUGGCCCGAGGGCCUGUGCUUUUCCUAAGCAUUUAACUGUUACUGAGCACCAUCCAUCAGGCUUCCCACUGACGACUGUUGCCAGUUGGAUUUUAAACACAGUGAGGUGGCUCCUGGGAUGCCUUGCUUCAAACAGUUGCAUCUCAUGGCAUGUGGAACUUCCCCAACUAGGGAUCAAAGCCAUGCCCCCUGCACUGGAAGCGUGGAGUCUUAACCACUGGACCACCAGGGAAGUCCUUGUGUCAUAUAUUAGCUUCCACAUAUAAGCGAUAUCAUAUAGUAUUUGUCUUUCUAACUUACUUCACUUAGUAUGAUAAUCUCUAGGUCCAUCCAUGUUGCUGCAAAUGACAUUAUUUCAUUUUUUAUGACUAAUAUUCCAGUGUAUAUAUGUACCAUAUCUUCUUUAUCCAUUCAUCUGUAUAUGGACAUUUAGAUUGUUUCCAUAUCUUGGCUAUUGUAAAUAGAGCAGCUAUGAACAUAGGGGUGUAUGUAUCUUUUUGAAUUAUAGUUUUGUCCCAAAACCAAACUCUUUUUUUAAAAAUUAAUUAAUUAGUUAAUUAAUUUCUCUUUUUUUUAAGCUCUUUAUUGGAAUAUAAUUGCUUUACACCCUUGUACCAGUUUUUGAGGUACACCAAAGUGAAUUAGCUGUAUUUAUACACAUAUCCCCAUAUCCCCUCCCUCCCGCGACUCCCUCCCACCCUCCCUGUCCUGGCCCUCUAAGGCAUCACCCAUCAUCGAGUUGAUUUCCCUUUGUUAUACAGCAACUUUCCACUAGCUAUCUAUUUUACAUUUGGUAGUAUCUCUGUGUCUAUGCUACUCUCUCACUUCUUCCCAGCUUCCCCUUUGCCCCCCAGCCCCGUGUCCUCAAGUCCAUUCUCUGCAUCUGCAUCUUUAUUCUUGCCCUGUCAUUGGGUUCAUCAGUACCAUUUUUUUAGAUUCCAUAUAUCUGAGUUAGCCUACAGUAUUUGUUUUUCUCUUUCUGGCUUACUUCCCUUUGUAUGACAGUCUCUAAGUCUAUCCACCUCAUUACAUAUAGUUCAAUUUCAUGCCUUUUUAUGGCUGAGUAAUACUCCAUUGUAUAUGUGUGCCACAUCUCCCUUAUCCAUUCAUCUGUUGAUGGGCACUUUGGCCAAAACCAAACUCUUAAUCCCCCACCCCACCCCCACUUCAAAUCUCUUCAGUGCUCCCUCUCUCACUGAAGGAUUAAGCAGGCCAGAACUCAGAGUCUCCUGGACCCUUCCCUCUGUUUUACCCUUCACAUUCAAUUUUGCCUUUUAAACCUCUCCUGAAUUCAUACUCUUCUCCCUUCUUCCUUUCCCACUAUCCUAAGCUACCAUCAUCUCUUACCUAGUUUGCUCUAAAAGCCUCUUUACUGGUCUAUCUGCAGCCGUUUUGACCUUCACCUCUCACAAUGUAUCCAGAGUGAUUUCUUCAUCUGAUCUUCAUAUCCACUCCUGCCCUGCCUGAAAAUGGUUAAAAUACUUGAAUGCCUUUCCAUUAUUUUAGGAUACAAUAUUCUUAACAUGCCCUGCACCUAUCCAGCUUUAUCUCAAACCAUGCCCUACUACACUUCCUGCACACCGGCCACUCUGGCCUUCUUUCACUUCCUUUACUUGCUAUGCUUCCCCUCCCCGAUUGCUUUUUGCCCAGAGUGCUCUUCCCCAUCUUCAUCUUGUAACUUACCCCCGUCUUCAAAUCUUAGCUCAGUCAUGGCUUCCUCAGGGCUAUCUUCCCUCACCUCUAUAUCCAGGGCAAAUCUCUACCCUAUGACCCUGGGUACUUCUCCUUCAUAUGCUGAUCAUGGCUAUAAUUUUAUAUUUAUUGGUAUGACUACUUGGUUCAAAUAAAUUUCCCACUGACUGUAGAUUCCAUUAGGGUAGGAAUUGUGCCUGGUUUUCUGUGCCUAGAACCAGCACAGUGCCUAGUACAUACAUAGAAGGUGCUUGGUAAACGCACUUGUUAAAUAAAUGAAUGAAAGAAUGAAUGAAUGAAAAUGGACUUUUAUUUUCUGUAAUUCCUUUGGUUCCCCCUUCUCUGGCUAUUUCACCUGUGCCCUAUCCUUUGUUUAGUCAUUGGACACUCAAUCAUGAAUUUGUUUUACAUGUCCCAGUGCCACUGCUGGGUCUCCUUUCUAUUAUUGGUAAAGACAUUCAUGAGAUUCUGUAUGACCUUGGAUAGCGUCCUCCUAUGGACACUUCCUCUCCUGCAAUAAUUUUGUUAUUAUCAAGAUUCUGUUCAGAACUUCAGGCUUAGGUAAUAAGAGAGUACCACCUGAGGUGGGCAGUCUCCCACCUAGCACAAUAAGAUCAUGAAAUUGAAGGGAACCCUUGGUUUUCAUUUAGUUUAAUUUCUCAAGCGAAACAGACAUCCUUUCUAUACCACUUUUGACAGAUACUAGUCGCUAAUGUGUAUUGAGCAUAGACCAGUUACUGUCUUAAGAACAUUGAUGGAUGAACCCACUGAAUCCUUUGUAACCAUAUGGGUACAGUUACCAUCAUGUCUCCUUCAUAGAUGGAGAAACAGUGGAAUGCUUGUCUAAGUCGUAUGAGUAAUAACUGGCACAGUCAAGAUUUGAACCCAGGCAAUUUGGCAGAGCUAGGGCUUUUAGCCACUGUGCUAUGCUAUGCUACGCUACCUUUGUAGUUAGCCAACAUUUAUGUGGACACCUCCAGGAAUAGGAAUUCACUCCACCGUGAACUGGAUACUAGCCAUUUUUCCUAAUUCCAGCCUCUAAAACUAUACAGAAUAGCCUGCUCCAACUUCCACAGACAGUCAUUCAAAUAUUUUCAAAUACUGAGAGUAAUUUUUUUCUGUUCAUAAAAAUAACAUAUGCUCAUUGUAGAAAAUUUGGAAAAGUUCAGAAGAGUAUAAAGAAAAUAAGAAUACUUGAUAACUAAGGAGAAAAUAAAUGUU